GGCUCAGAACGAACGCUGGCGGCGCGUUUUAAGCAUGCAAGUCGAGCGGCAAGGGCCUUCGGGCCCCUAGAGCGGCGGACGGGUGAGUAACACGUGGACAAUCUGCCCCCGGCCCGGGAUAGCCCAGGGAAACCUGGAUUAAUACCGGAUGAGACGGGACCCGCGAUGGCGGGAUCCGGGAAAGGCGCUGCGGCGCCGCCGGGGGAUGAGUCUGCGUCCCAUUAGCUAGACGGCGGGGUAACGGCCCACCGUGGCGACGAUGGGUAGCCGGCCUGAGAGGGUGGACGGCCACAUUGGAACUGAGACACGGCCCAAACUCCUACGGGAGGCAGCAGUAGGGAAUCUUCCGCAAUGGACGAAAGUCUGACGGAGCAACGCCGCGUGAGUGAAGAAAAGGUUUUCGGAUCGUAAAACUCUGUUGUCAGAGAAGAACAAGUUGGAGAGUAACUGCUCCAGCCUUGACGGUAUCUGACCAGAAAGCCACGGCUAACUACGUGCCAGCCGCCGC
This 508-nucleotide ribosomal RNA is filed under the name uncultured bacterium. RNAcentral's name for it is "bacterial SSU rRNA". It matches the Rfam family "Bacterial small subunit ribosomal RNA", at positions 21 to 518 of the family's 1533-position model. The record is from RNAcentral.